This 208-nucleotide ribosomal RNA is filed under the name uncultured bacterium. RNAcentral describes it as "partial 16S ribosomal RNA". It matches the Rfam family "Bacterial small subunit ribosomal RNA", at positions 1286 to 1500 of the family's 1533-position model. The record is from RNAcentral.
UCUCAGUUCGGACUGGAGUCUGCAACCCGACUCCACGAAGCUGGAUUCGCUAGUAAUCGCGCAUCAGCCACGGCGCGGUGAAUACGUUCCCGGGCCUUGUACACACCGCCCGUCAAGCCAUGGGAGCCGGGGGGUACCUGAAGUGCGUAACCGCGAGGAGCGCCCUAGGGUAAAACUGGUGACUGGGGCUAAGUCGUAACAAGGUAAC